This 328-nucleotide ribosomal RNA is filed under the name Scirpophaga innotata (western bean cutworm). RNAcentral's name for it is "partial large subunit ribosomal RNA". The record is from RNAcentral. Lineage: Eukaryota; Metazoa; Arthropoda; Insecta; Lepidoptera; Crambidae.
AUAAAAAAGUAAAAAUAAGAUUAAAAGACGAGAAGACCCUAUAGAGUUUAAUAGAUAAUUAUAAUUUGAAUUAUAUAUAAAUUUUAAAUUUAAUUAUAAUAAUUUAUUUUGUUGGGGUGAUAAAAAAAUUAAAAUAACUUUUUUUUUUUAGUUUAAACAUAGAUAAGUGAUUAAUUGAUCCGUAAAUUAUGAUUAAAAGAAAAAAUUACCUUAGGGAUAACAGCGUAAUUUUUUCUUUUAGUUCUUAUAAGAGAAAAAGUUUGCGACCUCGAUGUUGGAUUAAAAUAAAAUUUAAAUGCAAGAGUUUAAAAUUUUGAUCUGUUCGAUC